UUACCCAUCGUGAUGUGGUUAUUGCAAUCAAUAAGUUAUUGAUGCAAGGGGCAAUAUAUUGUUGCCCUUUUUUAUUU
This 77-nucleotide small RNA is filed under the name Klebsiella variicola. RNAcentral describes it as "ABC transporter regulator". It matches the Rfam family "ABC transporter regulator". From Rfam's summary of the family: DapZ sRNA, encoded in the 3'-UTR of the conserved dapB gene, as a translational repressor with a GcvB-like seed domain. This is the first example of a widely conserved bacterial gene whose 3'-UTR has dual function. Lineage: Bacteria; Pseudomonadati; Pseudomonadota; Gammaproteobacteria; Enterobacterales; Enterobacteriaceae. The record is from RNAcentral.